This 336-nucleotide unclassified non-coding RNA is filed under the name soil metagenome. RNAcentral describes it as "partial contains 5.8S ribosomal RNA, internal transcribed spacer 2, and large subunit ribosomal RNA". The stretch from base 1 to 120 matches the Rfam family "5.8S ribosomal RNA", at positions 35 to 154 of the family's 154-position model. The record is from RNAcentral.
GAUGAAGAACGUAGCGAAAUGCGAUAAGUAAUGUGAAUUGCAGAAUUCAGUGAAUCAUCGAAUCUUUGAACGCACAUUGCGCCCGCCAGUAUUCUGGCGGGCAUGCCUGUUCGAGCGUCAUUUCAUCCAUCAAGCCCCCGGCUUGUGUUGGGGACCUGCGGCUGCCGCAGGCCCUGAAAAGCAGUGGCGGGCUCGCUGUCACACCGAGCGUAGUAGCAUACAUCUCGCUCUGGGCGUGCUGCGGGUUCCGGCCGUUAAACCACCUUCAUAACCCAAGGUUGACCUCGGAUCAGGUAGGAAGACCCGCUGAACUUAAGCAUAUCAAUAAGCGGAGGA